This 301-nucleotide ribosomal RNA is filed under the name uncultured bacterium. RNAcentral's name for it is "partial 16S ribosomal RNA". It matches the Rfam family "Bacterial small subunit ribosomal RNA", at positions 509 to 807 of the family's 1533-position model. The record is from RNAcentral.
CAGCCGCCGCGGUAAUACGGAGGGUGCAAGCGUUAUCCGGAUUUAUUGGGUUUAAAGGGUCCGUAGGCGGAUCUGUAAGUCAGUGGUGAAAUCUCACAGCUUAACUGUGAAACUGCCAUUGAUACUGCAGGUCUUGAGUAAAUUUGAAGUGGCUGGAAUAAGUAGUGUAGCGGUGAAAUGCAUAGAUAUUACUUAGAACACCAAUUGCGAAGGCAGGUCACUAAGAUUUAACUGACGCUGAUGGACGAAAGCGUGGGGAGCGAACAGGAUUAGAUACCCCAGUAGUCCCUGUCUCUUAUAC